AAUACGGAGGGUGCGAGCGUUGUCCGGAAUCACUGGGCGUAAAGGGCGCGUAGGCGGCGCGGGCAGUCAACGGUGAAAGCUCAGGGCUCAACCCUGAGUCGGCCGUCGAUACUCCCGUGCUGGAGCACUGUAGAGGCAGGUGGAAUUCCGGGUGUAGCGGUGGAAUGCGUAGAGAUCCGGAAGAACACCGGUGGCGAAGACGGCCUGCUGGGCAGUAGCUGACGCUGAGGCGCGACAGCGUGGGGAGCAAACA
Molecule: ribosomal RNA, 253 nt
Filed under: uncultured prokaryote
Description: partial 16S ribosomal RNA
Rfam family: Bacterial small subunit ribosomal RNA
Source: RNAcentral